Molecule: non-coding RNA, 639 nt
Organism: Phalacrocorax carbo (great cormorant)
Lineage: Eukaryota; Metazoa; Chordata; Aves; Suliformes; Phalacrocoracidae
Source: RefSeq, a predicted model, not a curated record
ACCCAGCAAACCAAUUAUUAGCAUGGCCCGAAUAUUUAACCAUCCAUCAAUGAUCUGGAGCAGUGAAUGAAAUGCACUGUGUGCUAAAUAUUAAUAUUGGUAGUGACAGAAACGUAUGAAUAAGACAGGAUGAUUUCAAGAUGGACGUGCAGAACAUAAUUGAGUAUACUUCCCAAAGAGCAAAUCUGCUGCAUUACCUAUGAAGAGGACAAUGGGGCCCCAGUGAGGCACCCUAUUCAUAUAUUUUUGGAACCCAGAGGAAUUGGUUUGACUAUUUACAGAUUAUAACAGUUGGAAUAUUUCUCUAACUAAUGGGAUGGAUUUGGCAGUUCUUACUGCAUGGCCUCUGCUUCCUCAUGGCCCCUCCGUUCUCCCUCAUGGGUGCUUGUUAGGAGAGCAGGGGAAGGACCUGAGGCCGGGGCUUGCUGAGGAGGCGACCACGUGGACACGGUUUGCUCGGCUGCCAUUGGCAUGUUGUGGAAAGUGAGGGGUGGGAUGGACUUGAUGAAGGCAGCCCCAUCUUGGGAAAUGUUUGAUUAGAAAAAUAGCGUCAAGCUGUAACUUAUCAUCAGCUCUAGAUAUAUUUGGGGGAGUCCCGUCUCCCGAAUGGGAUUAAAUUACAUAUAGUGUUAACGCAGA